Molecule: transfer-messenger RNA, 355 nt
Filed under: Salmonella enterica subsp. enterica serovar Montevideo
Lineage: Bacteria; Pseudomonadati; Pseudomonadota; Gammaproteobacteria; Enterobacterales; Enterobacteriaceae
Description: partial transfer-messenger RNA
Rfam family: transfer-messenger RNA
About the family: Bacterial tmRNA, also known as 10Sa RNA or SsrA, is named for its dual tRNA and mRNA-like properties. Its role is to liberate the mRNA from a stalled ribosome. To accomplish this part of the tmRNA is used as a reading frame that ends in a translation stop signal.
Source: RNAcentral
GGGGCUGAUUCUGGAUUCGACGGGAUUUGCGAAACCCAAGGUGCAUGCCGAGGGGCGGUUGGCCUCGUAAAAAGCCGCAAAAAAAUAGUCGCAAACGACGAAAACUACGCUUUAGCAGCUUAAUAACCUGCUUAGAGCCCUCUCUCCCUAGCCUCCGCUCUUAGGACGGGGAUCAAGAGAGGUCAAACCCAAAAGAGAUCGCGCGGAUGCCCUGCCUGGGGUUGAAGCGUUAAAACGAAUCAGGCUAGUCUGGUAGUGGCGUGUCCGUCCGCAGGUGCCAGGCGAAUGUAAAGACUGACUAAGCAUGUAGUACCGAGGAUGUAGGAAUUUCGGACGCGGGUUCAACUCCCGCCAG